RNAcentral lists this ribosomal RNA (280 nucleotides) under uncultured prokaryote. Its description in RNAcentral is "partial 16S ribosomal RNA". It matches the Rfam family "Bacterial small subunit ribosomal RNA", at positions 26 to 294 of the family's 1533-position model. The record is from RNAcentral.
AGAUUGAACGCUGGCGGCAUGCCUAACACAUGCAAGUCGAGCGGCAGCGCGGGGGCAACCCUGGCGGCGAGCGGCGGACGGGUGAGUAAGGCAUCGGAAUCUGCCCUGAUGUGGGGGAUAACGUAGGGAAACUUACGCUAAUACCGCAUACGACCGAGAGGUGAAAGCGGGGGACCGAAAGGCCUCGCGCAGACGAGGAGUCGAGUCCGACUGUUCCGAUUAGUCGUGGUUGGUAGGGGUAAAGGUCCCUAACGAAGGCGACGAGUCGGUAGCGUGGUCU